Long non-coding RNA from Uranotaenia lowii, 283 nucleotides. RefSeq lists it as uncharacterized. The transcript is spliced from 3 exons. The record is from RefSeq and is a predicted model, not a curated record. NCBI's taxonomy places the organism in Eukaryota, Metazoa, Arthropoda, Insecta, Diptera, Culicidae.
ACAAAAAUAAACAAAUAAUUCAAAAAUUCAUGGAGCUUCACUUCGAGCGAAGUCAUCAGAUCCAACGAGCCGUUAAAAUCUACCACGAAGAAGAUUUGCACGAAAGACUGUCAGAGAUGGUCCUACCAAUAAAUUUUCUCUAUUGAAAAGUCAUCAAGUAUUGAAUAGUAUUCUGGACUCAUGAUUAUGACUGUGUAUCGAAAGAGUCGAAGAGAAACGGGAGAUGAAGAUGGUGAUAGUGGUUAGAAUCUGUUUCCAACGGACGCGAUAGAAAAUAAAUAAA